UCAAUGUCAUGGUCACUCCUA
This 21-nucleotide small nuclear RNA is filed under the name Arabidopsis thaliana (thale cress). RNAcentral describes it as "snRNA_03779". Lineage: Eukaryota; Viridiplantae; Streptophyta; Magnoliopsida; Brassicales; Brassicaceae. The record is from RNAcentral.